Salmo salar (Atlantic salmon) is the source of this 72-nucleotide non-coding RNA. NCBI's taxonomy places the organism in Eukaryota, Metazoa, Chordata, Actinopteri, Salmoniformes, Salmonidae. The record is from Rfam.
UCCCGUGUGGCUCAGUUGGUAGAGCAUGGUGUUUGCAACGCCAGGGUUGUGGGUUCGAUUCCCACGGGGGAA